RNAcentral lists this long non-coding RNA (509 nucleotides) under Homo sapiens (human). RNAcentral describes it as "HSALNT0266207". Lineage: Eukaryota; Metazoa; Chordata; Mammalia; Primates; Hominidae. The record is from RNAcentral.
CUGAACUUUAAUUUAACCAUAGAGAAGACAGUGGGGGGAGGGGGAAAAAAGAUCGGAGAAGGAGGAGGAGGCGGCCGAGAGAUCGAGGAAAGGAAGUCCUGGCGGCUCGGGGGAACUUGGAGAUCUCUCCAAGGGGCUGAAAGCUGGAAGUUGUAUGAAGAUGUUCCUUUCCCACAUCCCAGCUACUCCGCCCCAGUCGAAGAGACUAAUUCCGGCCCUCUUAUAAAAAUAAGAAAGAAAAGGUAAAGAAAAAGAAAAUCUAAUUAUGUGGCAUGUUUCAGCCAGGUGUUCCUGGUUCCAAUGACUCAGACCCUAUUGGAGCCCCGGGGAUCUGGAUAAUUGGGCAUGCAUAGACAGUGAUGAAGGAUGCCAUUUGACUGAGGGUCCUAUGUUUGACCUGACAACUCUACUCUUUUUGUUUGUUUGUUUGUUUUUGUUUUUUGUUUGUUUAUUUUAUUGAUCAUUCUUGGGUGUUUCUCGCAGAGGGGGAUUUGGCAGGGUCAUAGGAC